RNAcentral lists this ribosomal RNA (305 nucleotides) under uncultured bacterium. Its description in RNAcentral is "bacterial SSU rRNA". It matches the Rfam family "Bacterial small subunit ribosomal RNA", at positions 336 to 658 of the family's 1533-position model. The record is from RNAcentral.
CCCCUACGGGAGGCAGCAGUGGGGGAUAUUGCACAAUGGAGGAAACUCUGAUGCAGCGACGCCGCGUGAGGGAAGACGGUCUUCGGAUUGUAAACCUCUGUCCUCUGUGAAGAUGAUGACGGUAGCAGAGGAGGAAGCUCCGGCUAACUACGUGCCAGCAGCCGCGGUAAUACGUAGGGAGCGAGCGUUGUCCGGAUUUACUGGGUGUAAAGGGUGCGUAGGCGGCUUGGCAAGUCAGUAGUGAAAUCCAUGGGCUUAACCCAUGAACUGCUAUUGAAACUGUCGAGCUUGAGUGAAGUAGAGGG